Non-coding RNA from Misgurnus anguillicaudatus (oriental weatherfish), 8601 nucleotides. The record is from RefSeq and is a predicted model, not a curated record. NCBI's taxonomy places the organism in Eukaryota, Metazoa, Chordata, Actinopteri, Cypriniformes, Cobitidae.
AUAAUAUCACAAAAAAAUAAUCAAAAAUUUACGUGACUAUAUAACGAAAUUUCGUGAGACUGGGCUGUUUAGAGCAACGUUUAAACCCUUUGGUGUAUAUGCCCCUAAGUGUAUUAUUUUUUUUCAGUUACAUCAUCUUCACACAUUAAAUCUACAGUUUAAUUGUGCCCCCUACCUGUACCGCCACUUUUAUCUUUCAAUAUAUAUAUAUUAAUAUUGUGGUAUUAUUAACAAAUGACUUAUCUGUGAGCUUCAUUAUUUUAAAAAAAAUUGUGUGUGCUCAUAAUCUUUAAUGAAAAAUGCAAAUCUCCUCCCCUCCUCAAAACGAUCUCUCUUCACUUCCAGUCAUAAGUAUGGCAGGUGGGCGGGGUCCGGGAGAAGAUUGCAGCGAUUAGCAAUUAGCAACACGACCCAACUUCAAACGAUCCAAUCAGAUCUCGAUGGACAAAUUCAAAUCCAGCCCUGCCUUAUUUCAUUUCAGAAGCCGUUUCAUUCGGAUAUACCUCACCACGGGGAAAAUAAGGCAAUCGCUACUUCCGUUUCAUGGCGACUUUAAUAUGUACUGUAGUAUGCGAAGAUUUAUGAAAUGAAAGGUCUACUGCUACACAGAGAUUUCUCAGUAUACUUAGAUGAACACUUUUCUAUCCCCACAGACGCUGAGAUGCUGGCAAGUUCAAAAAGUUAAUAAAUUAAAAAUACCUGAAAAAUGUACCCCAGCGUUAUCUCGUCAAUUAAGAAAAAAAGCUUCCCUGCCUAUGACGAGUUUUUCUGGCAAUCCGCAAUACUGCUAUUAUCUUCCGCAACUUAUAAAACCCGGAAGUAUCACCCUAGGGCAAACAGCUGUAUGUCCGUGUAUGUUUUGACGAUCGUUCUGAAUCUGAUCUCUAUCUAAGUCCUUCACAAAAAUGGAAUUGUCUCAGCCUUUUGCUCAAAAUUCUAGGAUGAAGGUAGGAUGAUUUUUUUUGAAAGCAGAGGGGCUGUUCUUUCAUUUGAUAUAUUGUAUUAGAAGAACAUUUUCUGGGCAUUAAACUUUUGUGAAAAUCUGAAAAAUUCUGGCGCUGGCUGGCACCUUAAAAAGAAAUGCUGGCGGGGAAAGAGUUAAUAUGAAAAAAUCAUAAAGCCUCAGGGAUCAGCUCAUUCAGUUAGUAAAUAUAUAUAUAUUUUUAAAAUCUUUGUUUAACCAUUUUUAUUUGGUAGCCAUGCGUACAACUAUUCAUUUAGUAUAUUUCGUUCCACUCCUAAUAUAUCGAUACAUUUACUCUAAAUAGUGCCAAUCUUAAGUGCCUUCACCUUUUCUUUAAUCUGUAUUGAUGGGAGAGGAAGACAUUUCUCAUCUUCAAUAAAUCGAAUUAAAUGAAGCCAUUAUACUAUUUCCUAAUCAUGUUGUACUUGAUCUGAUAAUAAACACUGUUGCCCAACAAAUAGAGGCCGCGUUGAACCCAGUGGUAUCAGUUCACCUAAAGCCAAAGUAUGGCAGACUCUGGUGACCUCCUUAAAUCUUACUUCCAUGACGUGAGAGUGAUUCAUUCCUGGCCUUAUCAUACAUGCUGCUUCAGCAAAUAUGCUCAAGUAUGAAAACACAAUACACACAAUACGCUUUAAAUAAUGUAUUGAUGAAAACAUCAUGGAAGCAAUAUGACAAAUUGAUAUGCAUGGCAAAUUCGUGCAAAGGCAGAACAUUUGCACCAGCCUUAAAAUACAAUAAGUGCAACAAGUCCAAAGAUAAAUCACACAUAUAUUUUUUCAUAGCAAGCAAAUUAGACAGCUAUAUUUAGCUAUUAUAAAAACAUGUUAAAAGCUAAGUCUGUAUGAUAACCUUGACUUACUCAUACUCAUUACUGCUUGUGCCACUGAAGACAUUGAAUUGUGUGUCCCUUUAUUUUUUAUUUUAGUGGUCCAAGCAAACCAUCAGUGAGCAGAUUAAGUGUUAAUAUUGUUUGCCAACAAGGAACGCUAUUUGCACUACUGUCUGCAAUAAAAUAUCAUUUUGCAUUGACCUGAGCAGGCAGCCACGGUAUGGCAGCCGCCACCCCCUGCCAUACCCAAUUGACGCCCCUGGUUGAACGCACUUCACUUGGCAUGUUGACUGAUGCAGAGUCCAUGAAUCCUGAAUUAAAUUGGAUCUUGAUUAAUCUGAAAUGUCCUUUCCUGUUUCAGAGCAAUACGAAUCUAAUGAAACCCAAGCACUGCUCAAAUAAAGCCAUACAUCCCACCCAGAACCACUGGAUGGGUGAUGGGUGAGAAAAAAAUUACUGCAGCGUGAGAAAGUCGUAGCAGGGAAUGAGAAAGACCAGGAGAUGAAGGAGAAAACGCAUAGCCCGGGCUGUGCUGCAUUAGGCCUGUCCUUUAGUGUGCGUAGGAAAAUAUUGCAGGGAUGAGAUCCCUGUGUCGCCUCCGUGCCUUCAGCUCAUUGCGCACACGGGUCAAGCCCAGAGUAAAUCAGCCUGUGCUCCCCAGGCCCAAUUUCCCCCGAGAGCUCCAUCCUAGGCCCACUCAAUUCAAGUAGGCUGUCCGACUUUCAAAAAGAAAAUCAAGGAGACUCCGCCGCUGUGGACAGCCUUCCUCUCAGCAGAGUAUAAUGGAAUUUACUGAACUUUUCUGUUUAUCUGUCGCAGGAAAUGCACAUUGUAUUUUCUCUCUCUCUCGCUUUUAUAGAACACAAGCCAAUUGAGUUGCAACGUGCCCCACACCUUAACGCGCGGAGGAGAGUGAAAACGUUAUCAUUGUGGCUUGGGGAAUUGAUGUUUGCGCACCUGCAGAGCUAUGAGGUGUGCGGAUGAUGGCUGCCGUUCGGGCACGCUUCCAGCGUUGCGCCGCCGCGGUGACUAAGCACCCUCCUCUCGCUCUCUCGCCCUCCUCCAUGCAUACCCUAAUGUGAAUAAUGUUUCUCCUCAAACUCCUCUGUUAUAAAUGGAGUGCCACUCCGCACAAUGGCAAAGUCAGGGCUCGUAUUGAUUAACUCUCGUCAUCGACUCCCACUUCCAUGAUUUAUGAUUGUCUGUUAUUUUUGCAUUAGCAAUCAAAUUCAUCUUGUCUUUUUUUACUAGGGUCUGGCUGAGCAAACAGUAAACAUUUUUAGCUUGCAUGGCAAUGCUCGCAGUGCUGGUCCAUUAAACAUGCUGCUUUCAAAGACUGCUCCCGAAGGGCCCUCAAGGGCCAUUCAAGGGCCAAAAUAGUACAAAAAGUACAUUUGACACCCAGCUCUUUAGCCUGUGGCUUGAAGCGAUAAUAACAGCUGUGAGUGAGGGGUGUCCGGGUGAAGGAGGGUCCCUCCUUGUAAUGGGCGAGGGCUGUCUGAUCCCGUGGACCCUCGGUUCCAGCUUCAUUGAGAUUCCAUUAGGAACGCGAGAGUGUGCUGCCCCCCCGGUUCGGCUGACACUUCCGCGGGAUCACGACAAAUUGGCUCUGUCAUAGUGGACAAUUUUGAGAUGAGAAGUAAAUUAAACAUGUAAUCACACAAGGAGGCUCUUUGUGAAGUUCUGGGCCCUGCGCAGCCAUCAGGGCAAUCCAUGUCUCGCUUUCUGUCUUCAUUGCCUUCAGACUGUUUGUAGGAACCAAUGUCAGAACAGAAGCAGAUGGAGUGCUGCACUUGAACCCCAGUAAUGGCUUUGAAUUGCGUUCGAAACUCUUUGCUGACGUUUGAUUUCUUGCUAUAGACUCUCUAACUUACGAUUGAGCAGGUGCAACAGGACAAUAUCAGAUGUUGGACCGUGCUUACGAUGUAUCCGGUAUUGUACUUGGCUUUUGUGCUUUAGUUCUUUCGUGAUUCAAGGCCAGAUCCUGUAAUCAAUGGCUUUACCUCGCUGGAGUGCCAGCAGCACAGCGCUGAGCGUGUUUGCGGUGAGUGGAGGAAGCAGCAGGAAAUGUUGUGGGCCGCUGAAAAAUUAAGUCCCGUCGGUGUAAUUCAGCAGCGCGCUGAUAGCAUCAGGCUUCAGUUGGCUGUAUCAGGCAGGUAUUACCACCCACCGACUGUAAUCACUAAUGAAGCCAGCAGUGAGUUUAUAACGCGCUAAAUGAUGCAGUCCACUCCAGAUAAACACAUCCUAAAUAAACGAUUUGGGUGGUAAUUGCACUCUGCCAGGGCCCAGUUAAUAGAGUCAACUCGGCUGAUGAGAGGGUUAACUUCUCCUCCGAAGGAGUCUCUCGCUGGCUCAUUGCACUCUCAUUUCUAAGGAGAUCUUGGCAUUCCCCUGGUUAUCAGUGUACUUAAAAAGAAAACCUAAUUAGACCAAAAAAGGCCCCUUUUUUCUUUUUCUCUAAUUAGGUCCUUAACAUAAUUAGCAGGUAAUGUUAAUAACCCUCUUUUAAACUCUAUUAAAAGGCUGUUUGAGAGUAAGUGGUUGAGGAGGAUGUCCUGCGUAGAGCCACGGGUCCCUCGGUGGGUGGAAGCAGGAGACCGGAGAAGCAUGCUGGGACUUUAGUUCAUCAGUGUUGGAGUGCCACUGCAUUAUAGCUCGGGCCCCACGGGGGCCUCCUCAUCAUCAGACUCGGGGCCCAGUGCAUUAAUAUGCACCCCCACCCCUUCCUUUUCAACGCCGGGUCUUCAUCCGGGCUGUCUACGAAACGGAAUGGAAGUUGGCGAUUGAGCUACGUUAACAAGAUAGUCGCUGAUGAAGUAUGGGAAGAAUUCGAAUCCACCAGGGGGCAUUGUGUCUUCAGUAACAGACAGAAUUGGGACCACUGUUGUUUAUGCCACUCCAGUGAAAUAUUUAUAUGGGUUUUGGGAAGUGCUCUGGGUUCCAGUGAGUGGUCUGUUGACUUCGACGAGGAGGAGGAGGAUGAGGAAGAACCUGCCGUCGACCAGAAGAGCCCAGUCCUCGUCUUUAAUUAAGUAUCUGAAACAUCAAUUUAAAUGUAAAUAUCGGUGGUGCAGCUCCACUCAUGCGUAAAUUAGAGCGUUGGCCCGGCACAUUGCUCUCUCUCUCUCCCAAGUCCCCGCUCACUUACUCUGACAUCUGCUCACAUCUGCUGGGCCCCGGGCUUUCCCCAACACACACACAUACACACAAUUAAAAUUGGACUCAUUCUUGUGUAAGUAUAAGCAGUUUGUAUUCACAAAUAUUGUAUAUAUUGUAUUCUUCCCUGCUUAAACCAACAUAUACAGUAUGUGAUGUGAUGUCAUAGCAUAUUGUGAUUUCUAUUGGAAGUUGAGUUGUUUUGUGCAUAGUGUGCAGAUUUAUUGAUUUUUCAGUAUGUAAAAAAAUCUGUUAUAGUAUAUACGGCAUCAAGCACACAGAAGUCAAGUGACAUCCGUAUUUAGCCUCAUAUGUAUACGCGGCCUCAGAGAGACUUCACUACCUGACUGCCAUUAUUAUUCUGAUGACACUAGUGGUUCACCAUGGAGCUGUCUCAUAACCUGUCCCAGUGAGGAAAUCACUCUCAUGGAAAUUGACAGCCCUGGGAAGUUGCAGAGCAGGACUAACCUUUGUUUUGGUGAGCACUACACCUUUCCUCUCAUUGCAUAUGGACUAAAUUGUAUUGAAUAGCAUUUGUGUCACAUUUAAAAUGUUAACAGUACAGAAUGUCAUUUGUGAAAUCGGGGCAUUUGCUCCUGAAAAUUAAUUCGGUUUACCCCCAGAUCUAGGCUGCUGUCUUCAGGCCAGUAUUAUGCUACCCUUUUGACAAAGAGUAAUAUUUAAUGAAUAAGACUAUUAAUAACGGCAGGGUCUCGAGGGGAUAUGUCUCAGUCGCGGACUAGAUUGCAUAUAUGGAAGGGGGCAUUGUUAAGGUUUGGAUUGUUUAAUGCAUCCUACGAGGGGAGGAUGUGCUGUAUUUUGAGCGGGCACCACAGUGCAGUCUUCCAGCACUGUAUAUUUAUAUUCUCUCAUAAAAAGACUUCUCUAUUGUUGCUUUCAGUGUUUUUUAAAUCACUGUGUUAUGGCAGGUGCUCUGCACAACGUAAUACCAUUUUACACCGUAGUAGCCAUUUGUCUUAUAGGUAUGUGUUUGUGUGUUUGAAAGACGGAGAGAGAAAGAAAUGAUGAGAGCCUGUGUAUUGUACACCCAAGUCUUUUAUUAUGUCCACGAGCACAUGUCUGCCUGCGCGCAUUUCCAUGUGUUCGUUCAUCUGUGUCUGGAUGACGAUAAUAAUGAUCACGUGACUCAACUUAAUGUCCCAUGAAAAUAGCAGAGAGCAGUUUAAUUAUAGACUACAGGAGAAAUGAAGCCAGUGAACUUGUUUUUUCUCCUCAUCUAUAUAUUUGACAGAAUUUCUCACUUUUAAAAAUCAAAUAGGAUGUUUAGCACAGACAAGGAAAAUACAGACUGGUUUUGUGUCACGCCAGUGUCAUGCGCUAAACAAAUUUUAGGGUGCCGUAUUCCUAUAAGUAGGUACAAAUAUCAUCUUUUCACUGUUGCAUGCAGAUGUCCUUCUCUUUCUCACAAUGGGGUAGACAUCAUUUUCUCCUUCUAAUUUUCUGCUCCGCAAUUGAUUUUGAUGACAUCUGAUUUUAAGUGGUGACAGCGUUGAGCGAUAUUAAAGCAUCCGUGCCAUAAGGCGAAAUACUCUCAUUUGGCGAUCACAUGAAUUGAAAACACUAUCUGCUGUCUAGACGUGCAUGAAAAUAUACAAUGUGAAACCGAGGCUCGCUUUUUAUUUUUAGCCUGGCUUGAGUCACAGCAUCUUGUUUAGUCACGGUAGCGGUCGCUGACCUCCGUGCGUCCUUCACACAAAAGUGAAGAGCACCUUAUAAUUGCAGCGGGCGGCAGCUUAAAACUGCCAAAUCAUAAAAGCCAGAAGAGAUCCAGUGAAUUACGAGGAAAUAUGGCCUUCCUUUACAGCAAGGGCUGUGAAUGAAGCCAUUAAAUUAUGAGCAGUUUUUAUGAUGGGCCAUUGAAAGGGGAAUGCUUGUAUAUUGAUGGUUCACAGGCUGUAUCCCUCUUUCCCUUGUGCUGGGGAAGAGCUGACUAGAGGCCCCUGUGUAACUAUUUUUCAUGCAUUUAAUAUAUUAAUUAUCCGGUAAAUGUUCCCCAGGCAGUGCUUGGGAUACUGGAGACUGACAGCUUUUCGAUGAAGCUCCCCCACCAGCCCAUCAUGCAGCAGUGUAUUACGUGGGAAAGGUCGGCUUGGGGUUAAUGUAACUUUUUAUUUGCUGAUUUUUCAUAGGCUGGGAGGGAAGUGAGGAGCAAGGCUAGUUUGGAAAAAUGAGAGAGAAUGAGUAAGAGAGUAAAAGAAAUGCUCCAGGACGACUGUGGCCGAGAAUAUCAGCCAGGAGAGCUGUUCUUCUUUUAUACUAUACUGUGGUGUUUUGACUUUUUCUUCUUCAGGAAAGGAGCCCAGCAAUAGCAAAUUGUGGAAAAUCUGUCCAGAAAAUGUCAGUUUUUUGUAUUUUACCCCAAAUUCAAAUUAAAGAAAUAUAUAUGAAGAGUUUCGUUGCAAAACGAUAACUCCGAGAUAACUCCGUUUUUUGGUUGUGCAUUCCAAUUAAUAUCAAUUCAACUGCAGUUGGUUGGUUUUGAUUUAAACCUUCAUAACUUAAAAAAUACAGCUAAGUAGCAUCAUAAAACAAAAUAAUAACAUGAUAACAUAAUAAUAAACAUGUUUUGACAAAAAAUUUAAAAACGGAGUUAUCUUAUUUUGCAACGAAACUCUUCAUAUUUAGAUCCAGAAAUAAUGAGGCACAGGCACAUUUUGUGUUAUUUUAGCUGUUUACCAAAAUGUAUUCUAGUUACAGAUAUAUAAUAAUUACUGGCUUAAUGAACACACUCUUAGCUCUUAGGGUAUUCACAUUCAAACUGGAUGAAGAAUUUAGGAAUUACAACCGUUUAAUAUGUAGCUCCCCCUUUUUAAAGGGGCCAAAAGUGAUAGUUGAUUUAAAAGCUGUUUUAUAGACAUGAAUUGUCUAUUUGUUGUGCUAAAAAGUCAGACACGCUCUAAAAGCUUUAUUUGGAGAGAUAAAACUAAUAUCAACCUGAGAAUAAGUAUAAAAAUGAUGGAGAAGGCUACAGUAGGAACAUCUCAUGAUAUCAGCAGACAACAUCUUCAUAAAAAGUGUGAUUGCAUUUCCAUACAUGGCUUAAUAAAGCGCUCGGCCGCUGGUGUUUUUUGGUAAUGUAAAGAACCCAGAAGCGUCCUGAUUCAUUUUUUAUUUCUCUGGAUGUUGUGAAGGAGUUUGUCUUUAUCAUGGGGAGGAUAAUGCGAUCAUUCAACCACUGUUAUCGUAUAUGGACGUCCAGGAUGUUUUUGUUGCUGAGCUUACAAGUGUGUUGUUUUUAGAUAGAGCCAAAUUGUUGGUAUCUCUUUGAAGGAUUUGUUGUGUUUUUGAAACCUACCCAUGGUCUGUAUCACUUGUAUAAAAGAUGUCCCUGAACCACAUGAUGUGGGUUUACAGCCACAGCUUCCAAAUGCAAAUGCCACACACACUUAGAAUCACAUUCUUUAUUUAUGAGGAAAUUAUUUAACAAAUAGACAAUUCAUGUCCAUAAAACAGCUUUUCAGUCACCUGCCCAUUACUUUUGGCCCUAUGAAAUAUUUCUAUUUUUGGUACCAUUAAGGUUUAUGACAACCAUUCUCAUUACCAUUAGGAAGAAACCUCAUUCUAAUUACCAUAAUGUGAAAAAAGAUCAUAUAUUUUGUUGCAUGUGACAGGACAAUGUUUGGCC